UUUUUUUGUUAGUAGAGCAAAAAUUGCAGGUCUGGCCAUUGUUGACUAGUUUUUAAAGGGCAAAAUGUAACUUUACAUUUGUUCAUACAAAAAAAGCUAAAAUAAAUGAAUUAAAAAAAAAAAAAUCAUAUUAUCUUAAUCUUCUCCACGCACCCCGACCCAAAACUAAAACCAAAACCAAGAGCACGGAAACGCCGACACCCACAACCAUCAUCUCCAACCCCGCUUGGCAUCAUCAUCCAACAAUCACCAGCAGAAUCUUCACCAAGGAGGAUAAACGCAUUCAAUCAAAAUCCAAGCAUUUUCUUGAUUUAAACGCAUAAAUGCAUAAAUUUCUCGCAAACCCAUCUCUAAUUUUGAUUCAGAAUUUGGGGAAAUUAAGGAAAAAUGAUGACAAUUGAAGGGAUGAUGGAUAGAAGGGGUGUUGGAUGAUAUAAUAUGGAAGCUUUUGAAAAGCAAAGGGGAAAAUAGGUGCAGCUUUCGGAGGCGAAGAUCCGACAACUUUCGGAGUGCGGAGAUCACUGGGUCAAUUUCUAUCUUUAAAACCGUCUCAACAACCAUACUACAAAUUCCUUCAAACGGUGUACUAAGAGCUACAAUUGAAAAGUGAGAAGGAACUCUGUACUUCUGUCUUUGCCUCCCUUAACAGAACCCUCCAAUCCUUUUUCCAUGACUGGAAUCUAGAUUUCCUACUCAGGAUCUGUGGCAGGAGUGGUGGUGCCGCCGGAUUUGGUGGCGAUGAUGAUUGGUGGAGUUGAAGGGAGAAGUGGGCCGGUGGCUCUAUUGUGGGGAAGAAGUCUUCCCUUUUCUAUUUUUUUUUUUAUAUUUGUAUUUAAUUAUUUCAACAUUACCUUUUUGCCCUUUGAAAAUCAGUCAAUACAAUAAUGGUCGAACCUUUAAUUUUUGGUCAACUAACUGAGAAAGCA
RNAcentral lists this long non-coding RNA (926 nucleotides) under Olea europaea subsp. europaea. Lineage: Eukaryota; Viridiplantae; Streptophyta; Magnoliopsida; Lamiales; Oleaceae. The record is from RNAcentral.